Lentinula novae-zelandiae is the source of this 118-nucleotide non-coding RNA. The record is from the annotation of a GenBank genome assembly. Lineage: Eukaryota; Fungi; Basidiomycota; Agaricomycetes; Agaricales; Omphalotaceae.
UCCCUGGUAGUAUAUCGGUUUAGUACACGCGCCUGUCAUAUUCCCACUAGUAAGAAGACUGACUACUGGAUAAAUGCAUGAAACGCGCGAAAGCUGGGUUCGACUCCCAGCCAGGGAG